This 470-nucleotide ribosomal RNA is filed under the name uncultured bacterium. RNAcentral describes it as "partial 16S ribosomal RNA". It matches the Rfam family "Bacterial small subunit ribosomal RNA", at positions 28 to 507 of the family's 1533-position model. The record is from RNAcentral.
GACGAACGCUGGCGGCGUGCUUAACACAUGCAAGUCGAACGCUGAAGCACCAGCUUGCUGGUGUGGAUGAGUGGCGAACGGGUGAGUAAUACGUGAGUAACCUGCCCUUGACUCUGGGAUAAGCCCGGGAAACUGGGUCUAAUACUGGAUGCUACAUGUCACCGCAUGGUGGUGUGUGGAAAGGGUUUACUGGUCUUGGAUGGGCUCACGGCCUAUCAGCUUGUUGGUGAGGUAAUGGCUCACCAAGGCGACGACGGGUAGCCGGCCUGAGAGGGUGACCGGCCACACUGGGACUGAGACACGGCCCAGACUCCUACGGGAGGCAGCAGUGGGGAAUAUUGCACAAUGGGCGAAAGCCUGAUGCAGCGACGCCGCGUGAGGGAUGACGGCCUUCGGGUUGUAAACCUCUUUCAGCAGGGAAGAAGCCUCAAGUGACGGUACCUGCAGAAGAAGCGCCGGCUAACUACGUG